GUGUAUUAUCAAAGAAGAUUCAACAUUCAAAUGACAUUCCAUGGAGCAGAUGGGUAAAACAUAGGUUUGGAACAAAAAGGCCAGACCUACAGAGGGUGCACAUGGUUUGUGAAAGGUGGUCAAAAGAAUAUCCAAGGAGUGCACCUGCCUCAUCCCAAAAGACAAGGCCAGCAACAUCCUCAAAGUUUAUUCAUUAAUGAUCCUUCCGCAGGUUCACCUACGGAAA
Molecule: unclassified non-coding RNA, 226 nt
Filed under: uncultured fungus
Lineage: Eukaryota; Fungi
Description: sequence contains ITS1
Source: RNAcentral